CCUUCGGGUCGUAAAGCUCUUUAGGUUGGGAAGAAGUUUAUUUGGUGAAUAUCCAAGUAGAUUGACGGUACCGACAGAAUAAGCACCGGCAAACUCUGUGC
Molecule: ribosomal RNA, 101 nt
Filed under: uncultured bacterium
Lineage: Bacteria
Description: partial 16S ribosomal RNA
Source: RNAcentral